RNAcentral lists this ribosomal RNA (915 nucleotides) under uncultured marine group I thaumarchaeote. RNAcentral's name for it is "SSU rRNA". It matches the Rfam family "Archaeal small subunit ribosomal RNA", at positions 1 to 923 of the family's 1478-position model. Lineage: Archaea; Thermoproteati; Nitrososphaerota. The record is from RNAcentral.
UUCUGGUUGAUCCUGCCGGACCUGACUGCUAUCGGAUUGAUACUAAGCCAUGCGAGUCUUUGCAGUAAUGCAAGGCAUACGGCUCAGUAACACGUAGUCAACUUACCCUAUGGACGAGGAUAAUCUCGGGAAACUGAGCAUAAUACUCGAUAGAUCAUAAUGCCUGGAAUGGUUUAUGGUUGAAAUGAUUCGUCGCCAUAGGAUGGGACUGCGGCCUAUCAGCUUGUUGGUGAGGUAAUGGCCCACCAAGGCGAUUACAGGUACGGGCUCUGAGAGGAGAAGCCCGGAGAUGGGUACUGAGACAAGGACCCAGGCCCUAUGGGGCGCAGCAGGCGAGAAAACUUUGCAAUGUGCGAAAGCACGACAAGGUUAAUCCGAGUGAUUUCUGCUAAAGAAAUCUUUUGCAAGUCAUAAAACCACUAGUGAAUAAGGGGUGGGCAAGUUCUGGUGUCAGCCGCCGCGGUAAAACCAGCACCUCAAGUGGUCAGGAGGAUUAUUGGGCCUAAAGCAUCCGUAGCCGGCUCUGUAAGUUUUCGGUUAAAUCCAUGUGCUCAACGCAUGGGCUGCCGAAAAUACUGCAUAGCUAGGGAGUGGGAGAGGUAGACGGUACUCGGUAGGAAGGGGUAAAAUCCUUUGAUCUAUCGAUGACCACCUGUGGCGAAGGCGGUCUACCAGAACACGUUCGACGGUGAGGGAUGAAAGCUGGGGGAGCAAACCGGAUUAGAUACCCGGGUAGUCCCAGCUGUAAACGAUGCAGACUCGAUGAUGCAUUGGCAUAUAGCCAGUGCAGUGUCGCAGGGAAGCCGUUAAGUCUGCCGCCUGGGAAGUACGUACGCAAGUAUGAAACUUAAAGGAAUUGGCGGGGGAGCACCACAAGGGGUGAAGCCUGCGGUUCAAUUGGACUCAACGCCGGGA